AGGAUCAUUAACGAGUUAGGGUCUCUCUGGCCCGACCUCCCAACCCUUUGUCUACUCGACCAUCGUUGCUUCGGCGAGCCCGUCCUCACGGACCGCCGGAGGGAUCUUUACUGGCCCUCUGGUCCGCGCUCGUCGGUAGCCCAACCUUUAAAAUCUUUAACUAAACGUGCCUUAAUCUAAGUACAAUUAUUAAAUAAAAGCAAAACUUUCAACAACGGAUCUCUUGGUUCUGGCAUCGAUGAAGAACGCAGCGAAAUGCGAUAAGUAAUGCGAAUUGCAGAAUUCCAGUGAGUCAUCGAAUCUUUGAACGCACAUUGCGCCCUUUGGUAUUCCGAAGGGCAUGCCUGUUCGAGCGUCAUUAUCACCCCUCAAGCCCUCGGCUUGGUGUUGGACGGUUUGGUGGAGGCCCCCUCGGGGGUUCCUGCCCCUCCCAAAGACAAUGACGGCGGCCUCGUUGGACCCCCGGUACACUGAGUUCUUCACGGGACACGUAUCGGACACAUGGGUUUACGGGACACGGUCUGCCUCCCCUCAGGGAGAAUCUUUCUAAGGUUGACCUCGGAUCAGGUAGGGAUACCCGCUGAACUUAAGCAUAUCAAUAAGCGGAGGAAAAGAAACCAACAGGGAUUGCCUCAGUAACGGCGAGUGAAGCGGCAACAGCUCAAAUUUGAAAUCUGGCCUCUUUGGGGUCCGAGUUGUAAUUUGUAGAGGAUGUUUCGGGUACCGCCUCGGUUUAAAUUUCUUGGAACAGAAUGUCAAAGAGGGUGAGAAUCCCGUCUUGGACCGGCGGUAGGGCCCAUGUGAAACUCCUUCGACGAGUCGAGUUGUUUGGGAAUGCAGCUCAAAAUGGGUGGUAAAUUUCAUCUAAAGCUAAAUAUUGGCCAGAGACCGAUAGCGCACAAGUAGAGUGAUCGAAAGAUGAAAAGCACUUUGAAAAGAGAGUUAAACAGUAUGUGAAAUUGUUGAAAGGGAAGCGCUUACAACCAGACUUGCGCGCGGCGGUUCCCCCUUCCUUUUGGUUGGGCUACUCCGUCGUGUCCAGGCCAACAUCGGUUCUGGGGGUCGGUUAAAGACCCUGGGAAUGUAUCUACCCUUCGGGCGUAGACUUAUAGCUCAGGGUGUCAUGCGACCUCCCGGGACCGAGGAACGCGCUUCGGCUCGGAUGUUGGCGUAAUGGUUGUCAGCGACC
Molecule: ribosomal RNA, 1189 nt
Filed under: uncultured Exophiala
Lineage: Eukaryota; Fungi; Ascomycota; Eurotiomycetes; Chaetothyriales; Herpotrichiellaceae
Description: eukaryotic LSU rRNA
Rfam family: Eukaryotic large subunit ribosomal RNA (bases 554-1189)
Source: RNAcentral